Non-coding RNA from Vibrio furnissii NCTC 11218, 73 nucleotides. The record is from Rfam. Lineage: Bacteria; Pseudomonadati; Pseudomonadota; Gammaproteobacteria; Vibrionales; Vibrionaceae.
GGCCCCUUAGCUCAGUGGUUAGAGCAGUCGACUCAUAAUCGAUUGGUCCCCAGUUCAAGUCUGGGAGGGGCCA